GUAGUUCAGUCUUGUUGGCUAGCAGAAGAAAACUAUCUGUACAAGGGUACAUGAAGCUAUAUCAACAAAUUGCAUUAUUGCCGACAAGGGUGACUGCCUGAGGCAGAUAUAGUGGUCUUUGAUCUAGUUUAUGAUUUAUAAUUUAGUUGUAGAUGGUCAGUAUUUUUCUGAAGGCAUGUGUGGGCUAGAGACAAGAGAUUCCUUUUUGCUUAUGCAUCUAUGGCAUAUUGGAGGUUGAGUUGAUGAAGAUCAGAAGGAUAAAAGAAAAUGGAUUUCAGAAUUAAGGCUGGUAUUCCGUGAUUGUUUAGAGUUUCUAUAGUUGCUGCUGGGCAUGCUGAUUUGUGGGAAUCUAUACCCUUUACUUUGAUGGAUGAAGGCAGGCUUCAUGAGGUUUCAUUCUCUAAGUUGAUAGGUUUUAAUAUUUGUAGGUUUCAUGGAUCUUAGAGUGGAGAACUUGUGCACAAUUUUAUAUGAUAGUCCAUUUUGCAUUUGUCUACCUGCCUGGGUAGUAAUUAGUUGUACUACAUUUACUUGUUUCAUGUGUUCCAUAUCUCUUAAUAUGCAAAAGAUACAUGUUGUAUAGCUUUCGGAAACAUUUAUACCUCAGUUUGGAGAUUUCACCCAAAGAAAGUUCUUCGUUUAACUAGCUAUACAUGCAGCAGCAAUACUUGCCCAGGUUUCACUUGUUUCUGCAUGCAGGCUGCAGCUUUACAUGAGUUCAGUUUAAGACAAACUUCUUAAAAUGAUAAUGUGAUUGAAGUUGUUCAUAAUUGGCCAAUAAAUUAAUUGGUCGAUAUAUCUAAUAUGUCAGUUCUACUGUAUUGAAAGGUGGAGGCGGUUUCUGAUAAAUUGUAGCUGAUGGCUCAACUGAAGAUUUUUUUUUGAUGUAUUUUUUCACCAAUGCAUCUCUGUGACACUGACAAUGACUUGAUGGCUAU
RNAcentral lists this long non-coding RNA (938 nucleotides) under Phoenix dactylifera (date palm). RNAcentral describes it as "long non-coding RNA (PDAC_LNC016710)". Lineage: Eukaryota; Viridiplantae; Streptophyta; Magnoliopsida; Arecales; Arecaceae. The record is from RNAcentral.